This is a long non-coding RNA of Quercus lobata, 620 nucleotides long. RefSeq lists it as uncharacterized. Lineage: Eukaryota; Viridiplantae; Streptophyta; Magnoliopsida; Fagales; Fagaceae. The record is from RefSeq and is a predicted model, not a curated record. The transcript is spliced from 4 exons.
AGUAUAGGACUCCCUCUUCAGCCUUCACGUCCAAACCCCACAACCUCUGUGUUUUCUCAUAUACGCUGGAUCCUCCUGCCGCCACCAUGAAUCACCGCCACUGCAUCGAUUUCUCUUUGCCUCUCCAUCGUCGUUCAAUCCAGCCCAUCAUAUUCUAUAUCGGCAAAUUAUUUUGAGAAACCAGUAGGCUGUAAUGGUUCUUCAUCGCAUGAGAGGAGAAUAGAGGCAACCCCAUUACCCUCAAAGUGUUCGGCAAAGUGCUAAGGAUUUCAUUAGUGGAAAUUCAAUUCAUUCCAGCCAAUCUCAAUAGGGUUGUAAUGUUAGCUAAUUAUGCAAGAAUGAUGAAAAGAACUGAGAAGGAAAAAGGACUUUGUUUAGGAGACACUUGAAAUAGGAAAGAAGCCUAAAGGUUGCUUCUAAUGUUGCUGCACUUGGAUGAUUCAAAAAUUAUGUAGACAUGUGCUUAUGCAUGAUAUGUGAUGUUUUGUUUUGUUUGGAAAAAUUUAUAUUUUUGAGCUUCUUCAAUAAAUGAUUUUAUUUUUUUGGAGUUAUGUAUAUAUGUGUAAUUGUUAUUUACCUUAAUUCUUACCUAUUAAAAACAUAUCAUCUAUCCUGAUACU